Lucilia cuprina (Australian sheep blowfly) is the source of this 406-nucleotide long non-coding RNA. RefSeq lists it as uncharacterized. The record is from RefSeq and is a predicted model, not a curated record. The transcript has 4 exons. NCBI's taxonomy places the organism in Eukaryota, Metazoa, Arthropoda, Insecta, Diptera, Calliphoridae.
CUGAAAUGCAGCAAGCAAAAGAUCACUAGCCUUAUGAACAUACAUAUUUUAAUGUCAUAAUUUUAGUUCAAUGACGAGUGGAUGGAUGAAUGGUGAAUGGAUGAUAUCGGAAAUGUGACAAGAAGGAAUGACCGUAUAAAUAAAUAUAAACAUGAUAAUGCCGUUAAACGUGAAUGAUAAUUACUUAGAGUUGAUUAAUAAGUUUGUUAUAUUUACAUACAUCGAUAGGACAUUUGUGGCAACGUCAAUAACAAAUUUCAAUUCAAUUUCUACCAUAUGUGGCCACAACAAUUCACUGACAUUUUCAUUUAACAAAUGUGACGUCAAAAACGAAAUUGAUUGAUAACACUGGCCAGCGCAUUUGAAAUAAACAUCAACAUAAUUUUUUUUUUAAAUACAAAUCAAU